This 220-nucleotide long non-coding RNA is filed under the name Mytilus galloprovincialis (Mediterranean mussel). The record is from RNAcentral. Lineage: Eukaryota; Metazoa; Mollusca; Bivalvia; Mytilida; Mytilidae.
UUUUUGGCCCCUAAUUGCCUAAUGAUUUAAGCCAUAACCCCCCAUAACCAUCCUUUUGUAGUAUGGAAACUUGUGGUAUAAUUUCAGGGAGAAUUAUACACUUAAACACAAGUUAUUGACUGAAAACUACAAAAAUGCUUAUUUGGGCCCCUUGUUUUACCCCUCACUUAUUGAAACCCCUCUCCAACCUUGGAGCAAGAACCCCAAAACUCAAUUCCAG